UAUAAUAACAACGGUUAUCCUGAGACAGCAGGCGUCGGAAGACUUAAUAUCCUGCCGAGGACGACAGAAAACAUGGUUGCCCUAUCCAAGAUUUGAGCGGGCAAAUCAAGUGAGUAUGAAAAUGAAGUCCUCGUGCUACGGCACCAGGACUUUUUUGUUGGGCGU
This is a non-coding RNA of Chloroflexi bacterium RBG_16_51_9, 165 nucleotides long. Lineage: Bacteria; Bacillati; Chloroflexota. The record is from Rfam.